RNAcentral lists this long non-coding RNA (697 nucleotides) under Erythranthe guttata (spotted monkey flower). RNAcentral's name for it is "long non-coding RNA (EGUT_LNC001756)". The record is from RNAcentral. Lineage: Eukaryota; Viridiplantae; Streptophyta; Magnoliopsida; Lamiales; Phrymaceae.
GUAUACAAGAUUAGAAAGAAUCAAACAUAGUCAAAAUAUGAAUUCAAACCUAUCCUAUACGAACAAUGGAGUCUCUAUAGCCAUUAACACCACAUUUCUUUUCAUCUAUAACUCGUACAUCUUCGUUUCCUUCUCCAUCAACUUGUCUUAUUUAUGGCCUGAUAAAAUAAAAAAUUGAAGCAAUAAAAUAUACAUUCCCGCAAAAUUCAAAUACUAAUAUUUCUAAAAGCUAACAAGAAAUGUCUUUUAUAAUCACAAACUUAUGCAAAUCAGUUUACUAGAUAGGAACGAUGAUAAUACAUAAGAAUAUAGAUGCAUUCACUUCGGGAAAAAAUAAAUGAAAUUAAUGCAUGAACUAACUCAAGGAUCAAAGUGGGAAAAAAGUUUACCACAACGGAAGUAGCAAUCAGUUCAUCCAUAUCAAAAUAUGAUAAUCCAAUCAUUUUGUAAGCUGCAACAUAAAAAUGGACAACAUCUAUAGAGACAAGCAAUCAAAGUUAUGCACACAAUACAUAGAAUGUUAAGUAAACUUACAUUAAUAAUCAACAAUAACAAUUUACAUAAACUGUAAAUGUUGCAUGCUACUGCCACUGCCUAGACAACCUGUCUAAAAGAAUCUGAGAAAGCAAAUAUAGUAGUUAAUCAAGAUAUCAAUAAAAAUAUCACAUCAUAAAUUAAAGAUGUAAAUGGCUGAUAU